AAACAAAACAAAGCUUUAAAGUUAAAAAGCAUACCAACAAGGAGUCAAGGAGAUGGAGCUGACCACAUAAGGUAUAUUAUUAUGUUUAUGAUGAAUAGUACCCUUAAUUGCUAUUCCUCUCUUAGUAAUCAUGAUAGAAUGUGAGAUUCCAGUAAUAGAAGUCAAAUUAAUCUUUUAAUCCUUAUGCUAGUUGUCGUACUCUUGAAGAAAAGUUUAGUAUUGGCAAUGCUUUCUUAAGAAAUGUAUGAUGAAUUUAUUUUGCAUCGUAUAUUAAACUCAUCCAUAACUCUGCGAUUUUCACUUUAAGUACAACCAUACACAAUUUAAAUAUCAUGCACUAACUUGAAGAUUUUACCAAUCCCACUAAUAAAGAAUUAGUGCAAAUUGGGAAGUUUAGAAAGCAUUUGGUCCUACCAAUUGGACGGUGCCAACCCAUUGUUCCCCAUAUAUAAAAGGCCUAGUGCAUAUCUACCCCCAUCUUCUAUCUUUACACUUGUCAACUUCCUUGUUUUAUAAUAACUGCUUUUAACAACCUUUUUAUUACUAUACCAUUUUGCAAAUUAAUUAUUAUGAAUUUAUAUAUAAAUAUAGAUAUUAUUUAAUUAAUUUUUAAUAUGUAUUUUAUAUUUGAAUAUAUAUUUUAUAAAAAUCAUUGAUUUUUUGUACAUAGAUAAUGACGUUCCUUUUUUUCAACCUUUGUUUUCUCAACCUUAUCUAGUCUACACAUGGAGUAACGUGGCUCAAUGGCCUCUCUUUCUCCCACCCUCGAUAAAAAUGUUGUUGAGAAUUUGUCCAAAGCAGAAGAACAAUAAUAUUCUUAAAUUAUCAGUGAUAAGCAUCAAGGACCUUGAGAGGAAAAUUAAAUGUGAUUCUUUCUAUUUUAUAAUCAUGUAUUGCUGCUGAUCUGUUAUCUUUUGUCUGCUUUUUUUCAUGCCCCAAAAUUCUGGAAGCCUAAGCUAUAGAAUGCAUAUAAAUGCAUGAAUAUGAGAGACAUCCAUUGCCCUUCUUCAUUCCAAGUGCAAUCUAGUCCACAAAGCUAAUAGCUACAACCCUCAAGGAUAUGGAGAAAGAAGAAAAUGAAGAAGAUGAAGAUGGAUAACUGGAGCAGUUUCAGUUUGACCAUGAUGCUACUCUCUUUUUGAAGAGAGAAGUAUGAACAAGGCAAGUCAUAGGAUGAUGCUAAGGGAAGGCAAAGCCUUUCUUCCGGAUUCAACUCAUGAAGCUGCUGCACCACUCUGCUGCAGUUUCACCCUACAAUCAAUGUUUGAAAUGUUGAUUGGUAUGGGGCUUUUAUUUGGUGUUUUAUGUUUCUCUUUUCUCCCCAUUCUUUAAACUCUAAUCACUUUGCAUAUGCUUGCUUGACUUAGAAGCCACAUCUGUUCACGUGUGUGUCAAAGAAGGCAAGCAGCAGAAACAAUAGGAGGUAGUGAAUGAUUUUAUGAAUAGGGAUUGUGGUAUUUGCCUUUGUUUUUGUUGUAAGCCAUCAAUAAAAGAUGUAAUCUAUUUCUUGGGUUCAUUAUCCAUGCUUAUCUGUUUUUAUCUGUCGUGGCAUGCCCAUGAUUAAGUUUGUUAUUUUAUUUUAUUUUCUAAUGGUUCCAUAUUUUGUAACGUAAUUUAGGCCCAGGGUAUGCCAAAUAGAACAAGGUUUUUAAACUUAAAAUUUUACCUAAAUGCAUAGUUUUUAAUAACUUGUAAGUAAGCAUGGUUCAUAUUAUGUAUCACUAAUCUGUAAGUCCAUGUAAAUCCGAACAUAAUGAUACUAUACAGCUGAC
RNAcentral lists this long non-coding RNA (1772 nucleotides) under Arachis ipaensis. RNAcentral's name for it is "long non-coding RNA (AIPA_LNC000719)". Lineage: Eukaryota; Viridiplantae; Streptophyta; Magnoliopsida; Fabales; Fabaceae. The record is from RNAcentral.